GACGAACCGUGCGAACGUUAUUCGGAAUCACUGGGCUUAAAGCGCGUGUAGGCGGGAGGGCACGUCCGUCGCUGAAAUCCCCCGGCUCAACCGGGGAACGGGCGCGGAUACGACCUUCCUGGAGGGGCGUAGGGGGACCUGGAACUUCCGGUGGAGCGGUGAAAUGCGUUGAGAUCGGAAGGAACGCCCGUGGCGAAAGCGACUCACUGGGUCUUCUCUGACGCUGAGGCACGAAAGCUAGGGUAGCGAACGGG
This 254-nucleotide ribosomal RNA is filed under the name uncultured bacterium. Its description in RNAcentral is "partial 16S ribosomal RNA". It matches the Rfam family "Bacterial small subunit ribosomal RNA", at positions 524 to 776 of the family's 1533-position model. The record is from RNAcentral.